GGUAGUGGGAGGCCCGCCCUUUCCGCCCAGGGGGUGCUGCUGAGCUCACCUAAAAGGUUACCAUUGGGCAGUGCCGAAGAGGGGAGGGACAGCCGAUGCCCGCGAAGCCUGCUGAUUGGGCAAAAGGAGUGCAGCUGUGGUAUUUGAAGUAACAUAGAAGCGGGCUCCUAAAGGGGCGGAAGCGUAAUGUUUCUCUACAUCACCUGGUGAUGAAUUUUUAUCCCAGUUCUUCCUCUCUGGGCGAAGAUAAACUUGUGGUGUAGGCUUAGAUUUGCGGUGUAGGCCCGGGCUGAUCUUAGCCACCAAAAAAAAAAAAAAAAGUGCAGACUCUCCCCAGUUCUUGCCGCUGGGCUCAUCUUAUUUAGGGCACAGUCUGUAGUUCCUGGGGAUGAUCUUCCCAAGCAGUAAUAUUGAUUUAAAUUCAAAUAAUGAUUUUUAUUUCACAAAACAGCAGCGGGGGAGCGUAGUGGAUAGAUCACUGGACUUGGAAUUAGGAAUACCUAUCUUCAUGAGUUGAAAACCAGUCUCAGACUCUCGAUCUGUGAAUCUGGGCAAGUCACAAACUUAUUUGUCUCAAUUCCUCAUCUAUAAAAAUGAACUGGAGAAGGAAAUGGUAAACUACCCCAUUAUCUUUGCCAAGAAAAACCCCCAAAAAUGGGGUCACGAAAAGUUCCCAUGAAUAUAACGAUUGAACAAUGUAAAGUUAUUUUUGACCUAGAAAGAACCCAAUGAAAUAGUUAAGACAACAGUAUCCCAUUUUACAAGAGAAGACACUGAUGUCUGUUACAGGGCUGGUGUAAAUCGGUCUUAAAAUACCCAUUUCAUGAAUCUCCAGACCAAUGUUUCCUCACUCAAACUACAAACAAGUCAGUAAAAUAUCUAAAUUCUCCACCUUGGACCUUUCUAUGCUGGGCAAUUCAUUGAUUUUUUUUAGCCAAAAGGAAUCUCACCUUUCAGCAAGUGGGAGAAGCAGUACACUAAAGUCUUCCAGUCUUUCAUUAUGGCAUGUAAAUAACUCCUGGGGCCUAGAAGGCCAUUGUGUAAACUGACUAGUGGCUAUACAAGAAAAGCUUCUAAACAAUCAACAAGCAUUUAUUAAACAGCUAUUAUGUGCCAGGCACUUAGCUAGGUGAUAAGGACACAAAGAGAAAAGUGAAAGUCUCUACCCAAAAGUUUACAAUCCAAAGGAUGAGGAACAUCUACUUACAAAGAAACAUACAAAAUAGAUUCAAAAGGAAGGAGACUGUGAAACUGGGGAAGCAUUAACAGUAGGAAGGAUAAGAAGAAUAAGGAAAAGCCAAAAGGAAGAGGUUUAGAAGAUAGAAGUUAACUAGUCCUUACCAUUCUGCCUUGUGACUGAUAUUUAGCAUCAAUUCUAAGACAAAAGGUAAGGGUUUAAAAAAAAAAGUUGUUGUUUUUUUUUUACACCAGCAGGGUAAAAGAUGAAUUGGAAUGUAGGAGUUGGCACAAGAGACCAAUUAGGUAAUUGAAAUUUGAGUCCAAGUGAGGGCAUCUGGCCAAAAAUGGAGCAAACAGAGACUGAUGUGAGAGAUGUGGAGGUAGAAACUAAAGAUCUGGUGUCUGAUUGAAAAUGUGUUGAUAGGGAGCAAAGAAUCAAAGAUAACACCAAAGUUGCAAACAUGGGUGAGAGAGGAUGGUGGUGCUCUCAACAAAAUGUCAGAAAUUUUUCAGAGAGGAUUUUGCAGGGGUAAAAGAUGAGUUUUGGAAUCUGUAAAUUUUAUUACUGUCAUCCAAUUAGAAAUAUACAAUAAAUAAGUUGUUUAAACUAGAUUGAGAUAAAGAAUACAUGGAUCAGUAUAUCACCUUGGAGCAAUCUACAUAAAGAUAAUAAAUAAUUAAAUCCAUUUGAAUUGAAGAGUUGACCUAGAAAAAAAGACAUGAAGAGAGACCUGAGGUACACUAACAUAGGAAAUAUGGAUGACAGGGUAGCAAAGGAAAAAGAAUUAAUGAUCAGACAGAUAAAACCAAUAGAAUAGUAUUAAUGGGGGGGGGGGGGAGGUUGCAUUCAGGAGAGAGAGUGGCCAAAAGGGUAAAAUUCAAUCAAAAAACCUCACUGAUAACAAUUGGAGAGAGCAGUUUCAAUUGAAUGAUUAGGUUGGAAAGAACUUGGAGACAGAAUGGAGAGCAUUUUCUAAGACUUUAGCUGAGAAAAGGAUAUAGAAUAGUUUGAAGGGAUGUUAGGGCUAGCAAUAUUUGGCCAUAUCUGUGAGCAACAGGGAUGGGAGCUAAUAAAUAAGAGACUGAAGAUUAGAAAGAAAAACUAUAAUUUUAGGUGCAAACUGCAGGAGAAAAGGAGACGAGUCCAUGUGGAAAAGUUCCCAGAGACUCAUUGAGACAAGACUUUGUCAUCUGAAAUUUAGACUACCUAAAUUUGAAGUGAUUUGUUACAGGAUGACUACAGGAUACAUUUUCCAGCCUAGCCAUUACAAUAAAGGGAGGCCAAAGUUUUUAGGUUGUAUCUAAAAACCUUGGAUUCAUGCUGAGGAAAUGAUUAUCAAAGUAUUAGUCAACAUUUAUUCUUUCAUUUCAGUACUUUCUGACCCCAAUUUGGGGGGGAUUUUCUUGGCAAAGGUACCAGAAAGGUUUGCCAUUUCCCUCUCAUUUUAUAGAUAAAGAAACUAAGGCAAAAAGGGUUAAGUGAUUUGCCCAAGGACAUACAGCUAGUAUCUAAGGCCAGAUUCAAACUCACGAAAAUGUCUUCCUGUCUCCAGGCCCAGCACUCUAUCCACUAUAUGAUCAAACAUUUAUUAAGCUAUUACAAUGGCAUAGGCUCUGUGCCCCAACCAAGGGAUUAUGUGAAGUAAUUCUUUUAGAGGGUUUGGAUCCCCGGCACCCUAGUGGCAAGGCAUAGGAGUCACAAAGUCAUGUGGCAUGUCUGAAGGCUGUUCUUAUCAGGGUGGGAGCCUGGAGCAUCAUUGUGGCAGCACAACAUGUUUCCUCUAGCAAGCAGGGGCCUCAUCCAUUCUCUUAACUAAUAAAUGCUUAUAAAUCUGGUAAUAAACCUUCACUUCAAUUUAUAACAAUACAAAUUUUAAGAAAAUGAUAGUCCCUGCCCUCAAGAAGCUCAUAUUCUACUGAAGACUCCAAGUAAAAAAACUGAAAGGAGGAAGAGAAAGAUUACCUAGAAGGGAAAUAACAAAAGGAGUCCAAAGGAGUGCAGUCUGGUGGAAAAUAAAGAGAUGGCUGUCUUGGGCAACAUCUUUAAAUGGAGGUUCUAGAAGGGACGCAGGAUACUUCUGAGCAGAGAGUUGGCCGAUAGCAGUGUGCUGGGCCUUUUGGCAUCUUAGCGUGGCGACAAGCUAUUGUCCAGUUCGGUGGAACUAUAAUAUAGGAUGUUCAGGAAGGACCGGUAUCUCUCAUAUGAGGAUUUGCCACGCCCCUUUCAAGGCUGCCUUCUUCCUUUGGUGUCCAUCUGCCAGACAGCUCUCACCUGUGGCUCCAAGAAACUAUAGAAUGCAAAGUGGCCACCCCACCAGUGAAGCAUUUCUGCAGAAGGACUAAACCAGGUUGAGGGUAACCAAGAAGCUUCAAAUCCUUUGGUGAGUUAGGGGGGAAUGUCUCUCCCAAGCAUGUGAAGACUUCACCAAUGGAAGGGGUGGAUGAGAUUGAUUUGUUCCAAUUGUCUCAAAGAUAGCAGAUCUAGGCAUUGUAGAGCACAAAGGUUGGGUUGUACCUCAGAGGUCAUCCACUGCAUCCCCAAAGUCCUCACCCAGUGAUGUCACUUUGUUCAUUUUUGAGUAUGAAGAACAACCACCAACUAUCGGAAGCACUGUAAUUUGAAAGGUUUCUCCCACCUAGUCCCAGCAUCUCAAUACAGCUCAACAAGCGUUUAUUAAAUGCCUAUUAUGCACUUUUUAAAAAACCCAUAUCUUGUUUUAAGAGUGAAUACUGUGGGGGCAGCUGGGUAGCUCAGUGGAUUGAGAGCCAGGACUAGAGACAGGAAGUCCUAGGUUCAAAUCUGGUCUCAGACACUUCCCAGAUGUGUGACCCUGGGCAAGUCACUUAAUCCCCAUUGCCUAGCUCUUACCACUCUUCUGCCUUGGAACCAAUACACAGUAUUGACUCCAAGACAGAAAGUGUUUAAAAAAAAAAAAAAGAGUGAAUACUGUGUAUUCGUUCCAAGGCAGAAGAGAAAUAAAGGAUAGGAAAUGGUGGUUAAUGACUUUGCAUAGGUUCACAUAGAUAGGAAAUAUCUGGGGCCAGAUUUGAACCCAUUUCUAGGCCUGGCUCUCAAUCCACUGAGCCAUCUAACUGCCCCAUGUCUUAGGAAUUACGUGACAUACUUUGGAUACAGAGAAAACUAAAUCCCUGCCUGAAGGAACUUAGUGUUCUACUAAAACAAAAAAUUAAGUUCCAUUAGAUUAGAACAAUACAUUAAAUCUUUACAACCUUCCUGUAUUUGGCAAAUUAAAAAGGCAUCAAAGAUUUGACAUCACAUGAGAACUUGCUGCUUCCAUUUAUCAUACCAAUGGAUGAGUCAUAUUUGAGUAUUCCCCUUAACUGAAACCACUUUGUUGAAUAUAUAUAUAUGUAUAUAUAAAUAAAACCAGGCCCUGAAGAGGCCAAGAUCUGUUGAAACACUUAAAGAGGCACCUGGGUAUUCUGGUAAUCUGUGCUGAAGCUGAGGGUGUUGUAUCUCCUAAACUUUGGGACUUCUGAACUGCAGAGGGUUAUACCAAUGGGGUAUUUGCACUCAAUUUGGCAUUAAUAUGGUCAGUACCCCAGAGCAAAGAGCACUAGUUUGCAUAAAGAAGGACAAACUGGCCACAGACAGAAAAAGAGGUCAGUGGGGUUGGACCCAUGGACAUAUUACCGCUGCAUUUCUAGCCUAUGCAAAAUAGGAAGACCCAGUCUUUAGGGGAGGAAAAAACCCUUAAGGGACCUCAGUAGACAUCUCAUCCAAACCAUAUCUUAGACACCCAUUUCCUCAACAACCUACCUGGCAAGUAGCCUUUGAAGAUUUCCAGGGUAUGGUAACCCACCAUCUCCAAAAGCAGUCUAUUUCCCUUCUGAAUUGCUCUAAUGUUUUGUUUUGCUUUUUUCCUUUAAAACUUUUAUUUCACACUUUGAUGUCCACCCAUUCCUUAGGUCAGCUCUCUGGAGCCAUGAAAACCAAUAAUAGUAAUAGUUAGCAUUUAAAUAGCACCUACAAGGUGCCAGGCAUGAUAUUAAAUGCUUUACAAGUAUCUCAUUUGAUCUUUACAGCACUGCUAGGAGGCAGAUGCUAUUAUUUCCAUUUUACCUUUGAAGAAAAGGAGACAAAUAGGUUAAAUAACUUGUUCAAGGUCAUACAACUAAUAAGCAUUUGAAGAAGAAUUUAAACUCAUGUCUUCCUGACUCCAAGCCCAGCAUUCAAUCCACUUCACCACCUAGUCAUCUCUAAUCAAAUUUCUUUCCCACAUCUUUGAAAUAUUUAUCAUACCCCUAAGUGUUCUCUAAGAUGAACACCCUGAAUUCCUUCAACCAAACUUCAUAUGGCAUGAUGAAGGUCCUUCAACUGUCUUCUUGGUGGCCAUACUCUGGACACUCCAGUACAACAUCUGAAAAGGAUGUUACUAAUUUUACAAUUUUGACUUUACCUGCCAUUUUAACCAUGUAAUAAUAGAUUGCCUACCUAUAGUAAAUUUCAAAAUGAUGGUUGCUACUAUAGAACAAAUACUUUCUCUCCUUUAAUUAAAAUGAUACUCAUCUCCUAAAAUCAAAAAUAAUAUGAAAUUAAUGGAUAGUCAGAAAUGUCAACUAUCAAAAAAGAUAAAUUCAUACCUUUUAAUAUGUUUAUUAAAGGGGGCAGCUGGGUGGCUCAGUGGAUUGAGUCAGGCCUAGAGACAGAAGCUAGAGACAGAAGGUCCUAGGUUUAAAUCUGGCCUCAGACACUUCCCAGCUGUGUGACCCUGGGCAAGUCACUUAACCCCCAUUGUCUAGCCCUUCCCACUCUUCUGCCUUAGAGCCAAUACACAGUAUUGACUCCAAGACAGAAGGUAAGGGUUUAAAAUAUAUAUAUUUAUAUUUAUUGAAUAAACUAAUGAGAUCACAAUUUAAAAAUUCAGUAUUUACACUCAGAAUGGCAGCUUCUUUAAAAAUGACCAAACAGGGGGCAGCUGGGUAGCUCAGUGAAUUGAGAGCCAGGCCUAGAGACAGGAGAUUCUAGGUUCAAAUCUGACCUCAGACACUUCCCAGCUGUGUGACCCUGGGCAAGUCACUUGACCCCCAUUGCCUA
Monodelphis domestica (gray short-tailed opossum) is the source of this 6238-nucleotide long non-coding RNA. RefSeq lists it as uncharacterized. The record is from RefSeq and is a predicted model, not a curated record. NCBI's taxonomy places the organism in Eukaryota, Metazoa, Chordata, Mammalia, Didelphimorphia, Didelphidae.